This 253-nucleotide ribosomal RNA is filed under the name uncultured bacterium. RNAcentral describes it as "partial 16S ribosomal RNA". It matches the Rfam family "Bacterial small subunit ribosomal RNA", at positions 524 to 776 of the family's 1533-position model. The record is from RNAcentral.
UACGUAGGGGGCAAGCGUUGUCCGGAAUCAUUGGGCGUAAAGCGCGUGUAGGCGGUUCGGUAAGUCUGCUGUGAAAGUCCAGGGCUCAACCCUGGGAUGCCGGUCGAUACUGCCGGACUAGAGUUCGGAAGAGGCGAGUGGAAUUCCCGGUGUAGCGGUGAAAUGCGCAGAUAUCGGGAGGAACACCAAUGGCGAAGGCAGCUCGCUGGGACGUUACUGACGCUGAGACGCGAAAGCGUGGGGAGCAAACAGG